RNAcentral lists this ribosomal RNA (448 nucleotides) under uncultured bacterium. RNAcentral's name for it is "SSU rRNA". It matches the Rfam family "Bacterial small subunit ribosomal RNA", at positions 26 to 518 of the family's 1533-position model. The record is from RNAcentral.
AGAGCGAACGCUGGCGGCAGGCUUAACACAUGCAAGUCGAGCGGGCGUAGCAAUACGUCAGCGGCAGACGGGUGAGUAACGCGUGGGAACGUACCUUUUGGUUCGGAACAACCCAGGGAAACUUGGGCUAAUACCGGAUAAGCCCUUACGGGGAAAGAUUUAUCGCCGAAAGAUCGGCCCGCGUCUGAUUAGCUAGUUGGUGAGGUAAUGGCUCACCAAGGCGACGAUCAGUAGCUGGUCUGAGAGGAUGAUCAGCCACAUUGGGACUGAGACACGGCCCAAACUCCUACGGGAGGCAGCAGUGGGGAAUAUUGGACAAUGGGCGCAAGCCUGAUCCAGCCAUGCCGCGUGAGUGAUGACGGCCUUAGGGUUGUAAAGCUCUUUCGCUAGGGACGAUAAUGACGGUACCUAGACAAGAAGCCCCGGCUAACUUCGCGCCAGCAGCCGC